CUGCAAGUCGAACGGCAGCACGGGGCAACUCUGGUGGCGAGUGGCGAACGGGUGAGUAAUGCAUCGGAACGUGCCCAGUAGUGGGGGAUAACUAGUCGAAAGAUUAGCUAAUACCGCAUACGACCUACGGGUGAAAGCGGGGGACCUUUACCGGCCUCGCGCUAUCGGAGCGGCCGAUGUCUGAUUAGCUAGUUGGCGGGGUAAAAGCCCACCAAGGCGACGAUCAGUAGCUGGUCUGAGAGGACGACCAGCCACACUGGGACUGAGACACGGCCCAGACUCCUACGGGAGGCAGCAGUGGGGAAUUUUGGACAAUGGGCGCAAGCCUGAUCCAGCCAUGCCGCGUGCGGGAAGAAGGCCUUCGGGUUGUAAACCGCUUUUGGCAGGAACGAAACGGCGCGAGCGAAUAUCUCGCGCUAAUGACGGUACCUGCAGAAUAAGCACCGGCUAACUACGUGCCAGCAGCCGCGGUAAUACGUAGGGUGCAAGCGUUAAUCGGAAUUACUGGGCGUAAAGCGUACGCAGGCGGCUUUGCAAGACAGGUGUGAAAUCCCCGGGCCUAACCUGGGAACUGCAUUUGUGACUGCAUGGCUAGAGUUUGUCAGAGGGGGGUGGAAUUCCACGUGUAGCAGUGAAAUGCGUAGAUAUGUGGAGGAACACCGAUGGCGAAGG
This 672-nucleotide ribosomal RNA is filed under the name uncultured bacterium. Its description in RNAcentral is "bacterial SSU rRNA". It matches the Rfam family "Bacterial small subunit ribosomal RNA", at positions 55 to 721 of the family's 1533-position model. The record is from RNAcentral.